UGUUGUCAUUGUGUUGCAAUGUUGCUGUCAUUUGUAUUAUACAAUCCAUUCUGACAAUAAAAUAUAGCUGCUUUACUAUGUGGCUAUAUAGAUAUACAUAAUAUUAAAGGUGCAAAUAUGGUCAGUUUUGGUUGAUGCUGUAAAAUAAUUUUGUUAUACAAGUCAGCCUGAGGUAUCAAAACUACUGAAAUUUUCUUAAGAGACAAUAUUUUGAAUAAAAAGAGGACAUGCUGGCUAUCUAGAUUGAUGGGAAUAAAUUUUUGUUGUCAUUGUAUUGCAAUGUUGCUGUCAUUUGUAUUAUACAAUCCAUCCUGACAUCAAAAUAUUUCUGAUUUACUAUGUGGCUAUAUAGAUAUACAUAAUAAUGUGCAAAUAUGGUCAGUUUUUGUUGAUGCGUUUCAAUAAUUUUGUUAUACUAGUCAGCCUUAGGUAUCAAAAUUACUGAAAUUUUGUUGCGAGACAAUAUUUUGAAUAAAAAGAGGACAUGCUGGCAAUCUUAAUUGAUGGGGAUAAUUUUUGUUGUCAUUGUGUUGCAAUGUUGCUGUCAUUUGUAUAAUGCAAUCCAUUCUGACAACAAAAUAUUGCUGAUUUACUAUGCGGCUAUACAUGUUUAGAUUUACAUAAUAAUAAAAUGCAAAUAUGGUCAGUUUUGGUUGAUUCGUUUAAAUAAUUUUGUUAUACGAGUCAGCCUGAGGUAUCAAAACUACUGAAAUUUUGUUGCGUGACAAUAUUUUGAAUAAAAAGAGGACAUGCUGGCUAUCUAGAUUGAUGGGAAUAAAUUUUUGUUGUCAUUGUAUUGCAAUGUUGCUGUCAUUUGUAUUAUACAAUCCAUCCUGACAUCAAAAUAUUUCUGAUUUACUAUGUGGCUAUAUAGAUAUACAUAAUAAUGUGCAAAUAUGGUCAGUUUUUGUUGAUGCGUUUCAAUAAUUUUGUUAUACUAGUCAGCCUUAGGUAUCAAAAUUACUGAAAUUUUGUUGCGAGACAAUAUUUUGAAUAAAAAGAGGACAUGCUGGCAAUCUUAAUUGAUGGGGAUAAUUGUUGAUGUCAUUGUGUUGCAAUGUUUCUGUCAUUUGUAUUAUACAAUCCAUUCUGACAAUAAAAUAUAGCUGCUUUACUAUGUGGCUAUAUAGAUAUACAUAAUAUUAAAAGUGCAAAUAUGGUCAGUUUUGGUUGAUGCUGUAAAAUAAUUUUGUUAUACAAGUCAGCCUGAGGUAUCAAAACUACUGAAAUUUUCUUAAGAGACAAUAUUUUGAAUAAAAAGAGGACAUGCUGGCUAUCUAGAUUGAUGGGAAUACAUUUUUGUUGUCAUUGUAUUGCAAUGUUGCUGUCAUUUGUAUUAUACAAUCCAUCCUGACAUCAAAAUA
Molecule: long non-coding RNA, 1364 nt
Organism: Mytilus californianus (California mussel)
Lineage: Eukaryota; Metazoa; Mollusca; Bivalvia; Mytilida; Mytilidae
Exons: 3
Source: RefSeq, a predicted model, not a curated record